ACUUCCUAAGUUGUUCUAUUAAGAUACUGCAAAGCCUUAUAACGCUCUUCUUCCAUAAUUCGGAACAUGGUUCGACAAUCUAGUAUGUACGAGGGUAGCAUCUCGAACUGAAUUGGGUAACCCAUGACCCGAUCCUGAGCUUGAUUGAUCGUGAUGUUGAAUACGUUAUCCAUUUCUUGCAUCUUCAUUCUCUUUUCUUGUGCAUCUCCCUCUGCUAUUUCGGCCCGUUGAUCAGCUUCCUCGUACGCUUCUCCGGCUUUUUCCCUUUUUGUAGACUCUUCUCUUAACUUGCUAUUCAACUCUACAAUCUCUGCUUUCAUUUGGUCGUUCUCUUCUUCAGUGUGAACCAACUUCUCUUCAAUAUUGUUCAAUCGUUCUUCUCAAUCCUG
Molecule: long non-coding RNA, 389 nt
Filed under: Panax ginseng (ginseng)
Lineage: Eukaryota; Viridiplantae; Streptophyta; Magnoliopsida; Apiales; Araliaceae
Description: long non-coding RNA (PGIN_LNC006519)
Source: RNAcentral